ACUACUAGUCCUAGUGGUGUGCCUGAUUGGACUUUGUUCUUCCAUUCCUGUGUCUGAGGAACAUGAUCGAGAGGAGCGCUCAGCUAGCGAUGAGAUGUUCAGGGGUUAUGGGCAUGGUUUGGGAGGGUUUUACCCCUAUCAGCAGCCUCAGUACCCAUCCUAC
Molecule: long non-coding RNA, 163 nt
Organism: Oncorhynchus tshawytscha (Chinook salmon)
Lineage: Eukaryota; Metazoa; Chordata; Actinopteri; Salmoniformes; Salmonidae
Exons: 3
Source: RefSeq, a predicted model, not a curated record